UACGUAGGGUGCAAGCGUUAAUCGGAAUUACUGGGCGUAAAGCGUGCGCAGGCGGCUUUGCAAGACAGAUGUGAAAUCCCCGGGCUUAACCUGGGAACUGCAUUUGUGACUGCAUGGCUGGAGUGCGGCAGAGGGGGAUGGAAUUCCGCGUGUAGCAGUGAAAUGCGUAGAUAUCAGGAGGAAUACCGAUGGCGAAGGCAGGUCCCUGGGCCAAUACUGACGCUCAUGCACGAAAGCGUGGGGAGCAAACAGG
RNAcentral lists this ribosomal RNA (253 nucleotides) under uncultured bacterium. RNAcentral describes it as "partial 16S ribosomal RNA". It matches the Rfam family "Bacterial small subunit ribosomal RNA", at positions 524 to 776 of the family's 1533-position model. The record is from RNAcentral.